UCUGACAUUUUGGACUCUGACAUUUUUCAGAGUACAGUCGAGUCUGUGACAUGUGUAACAUGAUAAAAAAAUGAAUAAGAACAUAAAAUUAAGAUAACAAGAAAUUAAUGAAUGUCUCCCUGCCUGAUCAGGGGGCUUUCUGUGUGCACACACUUGAAACAUGCGCACAGAAAGCCACUUCACCGUGCAAGGACCGAAUGGACUCAAUGGAUGAUCGCUUCCGCGUUUUGUCUCAACCAGCUCAGUUACAUCUGGUGUCAUGCCGGAAGCCGUUUUCGCUAUUGGCGAUAGCUGUGUGAAGAUGGCGCAGGAGAAAAUGACAUAUUACACUCGCUGUUUCUUCAGAUUAACUUGAAUGACGUCAAUCAUAUUGUGAGGCCAUCAGCUGUUACACCCAACAGUAAGGAGGAGAAGGGCUUCAAAUGAUAUAUUUUGAGCUACAACUUUGAGGCCUAUAUAACUGUGGAGGAGACACAUCAAAUAAGUAAAACCGGAGGACACAAUAUAGUGUUAUACAAUAAUAAAACAGGUUGAUUUGUAUUUUCAUACACUUGUAAUAUAAUAAAAAUGCUACAUAUAUCUCUAUAUCCCCUUUUUUUUAUUGAAACCCUUUUUUGAGAGGAAACUAGUUGAGGUGCUGAUGACAUGAAAUAAAAAUAUUAAAUGGC
This is a long non-coding RNA of Ictalurus punctatus (channel catfish), 668 nucleotides long. NCBI's taxonomy places the organism in Eukaryota, Metazoa, Chordata, Actinopteri, Siluriformes, Ictaluridae. The record is from Ensembl.